RNAcentral lists this ribosomal RNA (505 nucleotides) under uncultured bacterium. RNAcentral describes it as "partial 16S ribosomal RNA". It matches the Rfam family "Bacterial small subunit ribosomal RNA", at positions 28 to 507 of the family's 1533-position model. The record is from RNAcentral.
GACGAACGCUGGCGGCGUGCCUAAUACAUGCAAGUAGAACGCACAGUUUAUACCGUAGCUUGCUACACCAUAGACUGUGAGUUGCGAACGGGUGAGUAACGCGUAGGUAACCUGCCUGGUAGCGGGGGAUAACUAUUGGAAACGAUAGCUAAUACCGCAUAAUAUUAAUUAUUGCAUGAUAAUUAAUUGAAAGGUGCAAUUGCACCACUACCAGAUGGACCUGCGUUGUAUCAGCUAGUAGGUGAGGUAACGGCUCACCUAGGCGACGAUACAUAGCCGACCUGAGAGGGUGAUCGGCCACACUGGGACUGAGACACGGCCCAGACUCCUACGGGAGGCAGCAGUAGGGAAUCUUCGGCAAUGGACGAAAGUCUGACCGAGCAACGCCGCGUGAGUGAAGAAGGUUUUCGGAUCGUAAAGCUCUGUUGUAAGAGAAGAACGGGUGUGAGAGUGGAAAGUUCACACUGUGACGGUAUCUUACCAGAAAGGGACGGCUAACUACGUG